Non-coding RNA from Cinara cedri, 780 nucleotides. The record is from the annotation of a GenBank genome assembly. NCBI's taxonomy places the organism in Eukaryota, Metazoa, Arthropoda, Insecta, Hemiptera, Aphididae.
UUAUUUUUCAUUAUUUACAAUUUACCUAAAUCUACAAUCGAAACUCAUAAAACUUUAUUCACAAUAAUUAUAUAUUACACAUUUUAUUAGAUGAUACUACAACAUUAUAUUGACUUAUAUUCACUUACAAAAAAUAAAAAAAUAAAAAUGUUUAAAAAAUAAAUCUAUCAAUUCUUUUACAAAAAUAUGUAAUUACAAAUACAAUGUCAUUCUAUCAAUACACUAUUUUCACAAACCUUUUUAUUUGUAAAAUCCAUGGAUCGAAAACAUUGUUUUGUCUCCUUUUUUUUCUCUCAUAUCUCCAUCUCAAACAUACAAUGACAAUACACUUGGCAAAACUUUAUCAAAAAUCGAAAAUCAAGCGCAAAUCAUAGCAACAAAAAAGAGUAUAAAAUACUGGUAUAUCAGACUUUCCAAUAACACAGCUUAAUAACAGCUCCAAUAACAGUUACAUUUAAGACCUACACAUUUUACAAAAUUAAAAAACACAAUAUCCAUGUAUAAAUAUUCAAAACGACAUAUUUAAUCACAGAUGUUCAACAAACAGGCUGAGAAGAAGUUGAUGCAUCACAGAAGAAGUGACAGAGAGAGAGUGAGAGAGAGGGAGAGAGACAGACAAUAAAUAAAAUCCUCUGAGAUUAAUUAAUUAUUAAAAAAAAAUAAUGUAGUAAUUUUAGCAUUCUUAAUUAAUUUUUCACAUACUUCCAAGUUACUAUUUUAACCUACCACUAUCUAUAUAUUAUUUUAUUAAACUCUCUCAAAUUCAUAUGUAAAUUACCC